GACGAACGCUGGCGGCGGGCUUAACACAUGCAAGUCGAACGGAAAGGCCCUGCUUUUGUGGGGUGCUCGAGUGGCGAACGGGUGAGUAACACGUGAGUAACCUGCCCUUGACUUUGGGAUAACUUCAGGAAACUGGGGCUAAUACCGGAUAGGAUCUCCUCCUGCAUUGUGGGGGUUGGAACUUUUAGGCGGGUGGGGAUGGACUCGCGGCUUAUCAGCUUGUUGGUUGGGUAGUGGCUUACCAAGGCUUUGACGGGUCGCCGGCCUGAGAGGGUGACCGGCCACAUUGGGACUGAGAUACGGCCCAGACUCCUACGGGAGGCAGCAGUGGGGAAUCUUGCACAGUGGGCGGAAGCCUGAUGAAGCAACGCCGGGUGCGGGAUGACGGCCUUCGGGUUGUAAAAAGCUUUAGCCUGUGACGAAGCGUGAGUGACGGUAAUGGGUAAAGAAGCACCGGCUAACUACGUG
RNAcentral lists this ribosomal RNA (468 nucleotides) under uncultured bacterium. RNAcentral describes it as "partial 16S ribosomal RNA". It matches the Rfam family "Bacterial small subunit ribosomal RNA", at positions 28 to 507 of the family's 1533-position model. The record is from RNAcentral.